This 503-nucleotide ribosomal RNA is filed under the name Bifidobacterium adolescentis. RNAcentral's name for it is "partial 16S ribosomal RNA". It matches the Rfam family "Bacterial small subunit ribosomal RNA", at positions 161 to 675 of the family's 1533-position model. The record is from RNAcentral. Lineage: Bacteria; Bacillati; Actinomycetota; Actinomycetes; Bifidobacteriales; Bifidobacteriaceae.
UGGUAAUGCCGGAUGCUCCAGUUGACCGCAUGGUCCUCUGGGAAAGCUUUUGCGGUAUGGGAUGGGGUCGCGUCCUAUCAGCUUGAUGGCGGGGUAACGGCCCACCAUGGCUUCGACGGGUAGCCGGCCUGAGAGGGCGACCGGCCACAUUGGGACUGAGAUACGGCCCAGACUCCUACGGGAGGCAGCAGUGGGGAAUAUUGCACAAUGGGCGCAAGCCUGAUGCAGCGACGCCGCGUGCGGGAUGACGGCCUUCGGGUUGUAAACCGCUUUUGACUGGGAGCAAGCCCUUCGGGGUGAGUGUACCUUUCGAAUAAGCACCGGCUAACUACGUGCCAGCAGCCGCGGUAAUACGUAGGGUGCAAGCGUUAUCCGGAAUUAUUGGGCGUAAAGGGCUCGUAGGCGGUUCGUCGCGUCCGGUGUGAAAGUCCAUCGCUUAACGGUGGAUCCGCGCCGGGUACGGGCGGGCUUGAGUGCGGUAGGGGAGACUGGAAUUCCCGGUG